This 468-nucleotide ribosomal RNA is filed under the name uncultured bacterium. RNAcentral's name for it is "partial 16S ribosomal RNA". It matches the Rfam family "Bacterial small subunit ribosomal RNA", at positions 28 to 507 of the family's 1533-position model. The record is from RNAcentral.
GACGAACGCUGGCGGCGUGCUUAACACAUGCAAGUCGAACGGAAAGGCCCUGCUUUUGUGGGGUGCUCGAGUGGCGCACGGGUGAGUAACACGUGAGUAACCUGCCCUUGACUUUGGGAUAACUUCAGGAAACUGGGGCUAAUACCGGAUAGGAGCUCCUGCUGCAUGGUGGGGGUUGGAAAGUUUCGGCGGUUGGGGAUGGACUCGCGGCUUAUCAGCUUGUUGGUGGGGUAGUGGCUUACCACGGCUUUGACGGGUAGCCGGCCUGAGAGGGUGACCGGCCACAUUGGGACUGAGAUAGGGCCCAGACUCCUACGGGAGGCAGCAGUGGGGAAUAUUGCGCAAUGGGCGGAAGCCUGAUGCAGCAACGCCGCGUGCGGGAUGACGGCCGUCGGGUUGUAAACCGCUUUCGCCUGUGACGAAGCGUGAGUGACGGUAAUGGGUAAAGAAGCACCGGCUAACUACGUG